AUAUGUGAAAAUAUAGCAAGAUCUCUCCCCUUUGGACUGUAUUAUUUCUAAUUAAGUUAGCAUAUUAUCAAACCAUUUUGUAAAGAGCCAAAGGAACACAAGUGAACAGCAAAGAACCUGCACAAGCAACGCUGACACCAAACGCUAUAGUAAGUAAAAUAGAAACAUGCCACCCAACCCCAACCCCACCCAUCUUCCCCCCUCCACCUCUUUCCCCCUUUUCUUCCUAAUGUCUCAACAAAUGAAACUGAUUUGUAAAAAAAGUUACAUGGGGGAAAUACAAGAGAGACAUUGCACACACUUUUGUAAAUCAAGAAAAUCUUUAAUAAAAUAAAAAUAAAGAGCUAAUAUCUGAUUUGCCUGACUCUACCAGGCUCCUUCACAUUUCAUCUUCUUUCUUGCCAUUACAGAUAAACAUUAUUAGCUGUGUAACCAGAUGGAUGAACAAUUAACAUAAAGCUGCAGUCCUAAGUGUGCUGCUUGCUAUAGGACUCAUUGAGCUCCAUGGGAAUCGCUUCAGACUGGGUAAAGGUGCUUAGAAUGGCGCUGCAGGUAUGUUCAUAAAUAGUUCUCAUAUGAAACAGCUUCAAAUUAUAACUUCCAGUGCAACUAUAAAUGCUUUCUAGCCACUUAAGUUGUACUUCAAAUUGUAUUAUAAUAAUGACAGAGUUCCUCAUUAUUUUCAAACGUCUUUGCUUUUGUAAUCACCUGCGAUUGUAGUUAAACUCAGAAAAUUGCUGUAUUUUAAGAACUCAGAAACUGAAAUUGCACUAUCAUGAUGCUACAUUUCAUCUUUCCCCGUAAUGACAAAUUGAGCAGCAAUAAGAGCUCGUAAGUCAUGAGUGAAGCGGUGCUGCGGAAGGGAGGCAUGUUGGAAAGAUGUGGAUGCAUCUCAUUAGUCACUUUAUUAAAUAGACCUGAGUCAGUCUGGUACCAGUUGCAGUGGUUUAUAUUUGCUUACUUUUUCCUGGAUAGGCCCCCUGAUGUUGUCUGAAAA
Molecule: non-coding RNA, 997 nt
Organism: Podarcis lilfordi (Lilford's wall lizard)
Lineage: Eukaryota; Metazoa; Chordata; Lepidosauria; Squamata; Lacertidae
Source: the annotation of a GenBank genome assembly